GACGAACGCUGGCGGCGUGCUUAACACAUGCAAGUCGAACGGAAAGGCCCUGCUUUUGUGGGGUGCUCGAGUGGCGAACGGGUGAGUAACACGUGAGUAACCUGCCCUUGACUUUGGGAUAACUUCGGGAAACUGGGGCUAAUACCGGAUAGGAGCUCCUGCUGCAUGGUGGGGGUUGGAAAGUUUCGGCGGUUGGGGAUGGACUCGCGGCUUAUCAGCUUGUUGGUGGGGUAGUGGCUUACCAAGGCUUUGACGGGUAGCCGGCCUGAGAGGGUGACCGGCCACAUUGGGACUGAGAUACGGCCCAGACUCCUACGGGAGGCAGCAGUGGGGAAUAUUGCACAAUGGGCGGAAGCCUGAUGCAGCAACGCCGCGUGCGGGAUGACGGCCUUCGGGUUGUAAACCGCUUUCGCCUGUGACGAAGCGUGAGUGACGGUAAUGGGUAAAGAAGCACCGGCUAACUACGUGCCAGCAGCCGCGGUGAUACGUAGGGUGCGAGCGUUGUCCGGAUUUAUUGGGCGUAAAGGGCUCGUAGGUGGUUGAUCGCGUCGGAAGUGUAAUCUUGGGGCUUAACCCUGAGCGUGCUUUCGAUACGGGUUGACUUGAGGAAAGGUAGGGGAGAAUGGAAUUCCUGGUGGAGCGGUGGAAUGCGCAGAUAUCAGGAGGAACACCAGUGGCGAAGGCGGUUCUCUGGGCCUUUCCUGACGCUGAGGAGCGAAAGCGUGGGGAGCGAACAGGCUUAGAUACCCUGGUAGUCCACGCUGUAAACGGUGGGUACUAGGUGUGGGGUCCAUUCCACGGGUUCCGUGCCGUAGCUAACGCUUUAAGUACCCCGCCUGGGGAGUACGGCCGCAAGGCUAAAACUCAAAGGAGUUGACGGGGCCCCGCACAAGCGGCGGAGCAUGCGGAUUAAUUCGAUGCAACGCGUAGAACCUUACCUGGGUUUGACAUGGAUCGGGAGUGCUCAGAGAUGGGUGUGCCUCUUUUGGGGUCGGUUCACAGGUGGUGCAUGGCUGUCGUCAGCUCGUGUCGUGAGAUGUUGGGUUAAGUCCCGCAACGAGCGCAACCCUUGUUCACUGUUGCCAGCACGUUAUGGUGGGGACUCAGUGGAGACCGCCGGGGUCAACUCGGAGGAAGGUGGGGAUGACGUCAAGUCAUCAUGCCCCUUAUGUCCAGGGCUUCACGCAUGCUACAAUGGCUGGUACAGAGAGUGGCGAGCCUGUGAGGGUGAGCGAAUCUCGGAAAGCCGGUCUCAGUUCGGAUUGGGGUCUGCAACUCGACCUCAUGAAGUCGGAGUCGCUAGUAAUCGCAGAUCAGCAACGCUGCGGUGAAUACGUUCCCGGGGCU
RNAcentral lists this ribosomal RNA (1347 nucleotides) under uncultured bacterium. RNAcentral describes it as "partial 16S ribosomal RNA". It matches the Rfam family "Bacterial small subunit ribosomal RNA", at positions 28 to 1381 of the family's 1533-position model. The record is from RNAcentral.